GGACCCGCACAAGCGGUGGAGCAUGUGGUUUAAUUCGAUGCAACGCGAAAAAACCUUACCUACACUUGACAUACUUGGAAUCUUUUGUAAUGAAAGAGUGCCUUUUGGAGCCAAGAUACAGGUGCUGCAUGGCUGUCGUCAGCUCGUGUUGUGAAAUGUCAAGUUAAGUCUUGUAACGAGCGCAACCCAUGUCUUUUGUUGCUGUUUACAGUGCUUAAAAGAGACUGCCGCUCUACAGCGGAGGAAGGUGUGGAUGAUGUCAAGUCAGCAUGCCCCUUAUAUCUUGGGGCUACACACGUACUACAAUGGUAGGGACAAUGAGUCGCAAACCUGCGAAGGCU
This 341-nucleotide ribosomal RNA is filed under the name uncultured bacterium. RNAcentral's name for it is "bacterial SSU rRNA". It matches the Rfam family "Bacterial small subunit ribosomal RNA", at positions 917 to 1265 of the family's 1533-position model. The record is from RNAcentral.